RNAcentral lists this unclassified non-coding RNA (278 nucleotides) under Hevea brasiliensis (rubber tree). Lineage: Eukaryota; Viridiplantae; Streptophyta; Magnoliopsida; Malpighiales; Euphorbiaceae. The record is from RNAcentral.
GGGAGUUCAAGAAAUAGCUAAUUUUUUUCUAAAUCAAAUCAAUUAAAGAUAAAAAUUUUGCCUUUGCUGAUAUCUUGAAUGUCAUCAAGUUUAGCCAAUAUCUUGUGGCAUUAGGGAAAAGAUAUUGAAAGCCUUAAAAUAACUCGGAUAAUCUUUUUGUACUUGUGAAUUUGAAUGAGUAAUCAGAAACAUAUGGUUUAGGGUUGAAACCUUUUCUUUUGGUAUGAUGUUCUUUUAUAGAGUUCUAUAAGAUACAAAUUUACUCUGUGCUUGCAGAC